Molecule: non-coding RNA, 28 nt
Filed under: Homo sapiens (human)
Lineage: Eukaryota; Metazoa; Chordata; Mammalia; Primates; Hominidae
Source: RNAcentral
UGUGUAGAAUAAAUAGGUUAUGUGAGCA